UCUAGUUUGGCAGAUUAAAUGCACUAAGUUUAGAUCUUAGGGAUGCCGCGGCAACUAGAA
This 60-nucleotide transfer RNA is filed under the name Portunion sinensis. Its description in RNAcentral is "tRNA-Leu". The record is from RNAcentral. Lineage: Eukaryota; Metazoa; Arthropoda; Malacostraca; Isopoda; Entoniscidae. RNAcentral also lists the same sequence under 1 other name.